GUCGGGAAUUUUGGGCAAUGGGGGAAACCCUGACCCAGCAACGCCGCGUGAAGGAUGAAGUAUUUCGGUAUGUAAACUUCGAAAGAAUAGGAAGAAUUAAUGACGGUACUAUUUAUAAGGUCCGGCUAACUACGUGCCAGCAGCCGCGGUAAUACGUAGGGACCAAGCGUUGUUCGGAUUUACUGGGCGUAAAGGGCGCGUAGGCGGCGCGGUAAGUCACUUGUGAAAUCUCUGAGCUUAACUCAGAACGGCCAAGUGAUACUGCAGUGCUAGAGUGCAGAAAGGGCAAUCGGAAUUCUUGGUGUAGCGGUGAAAUGCGUAGAUAUCAAGAGGAACACCUGAGGCGAAGGCGGGUUGCUAGGCUGACACUGACGCUGAGUGCGCGAAAGCCAGGGGAGCAAACGGGAUUAGAAACCCGAGUAGUCC
This 426-nucleotide ribosomal RNA is filed under the name uncultured bacterium. RNAcentral describes it as "bacterial SSU rRNA". It matches the Rfam family "Bacterial small subunit ribosomal RNA", at positions 354 to 796 of the family's 1533-position model. The record is from RNAcentral.